GCCCCCGUAGCUCAGUGGAUAGAGCAACGGUUUCCUAAACCGCAGGUCGCAUGUUCGAUUCAUGCCGGGGGC
Molecule: transfer RNA, 72 nt
Filed under: Actinomycetota bacterium
Lineage: Bacteria; Bacillati; Actinomycetota
Description: Actinobacteria bacterium tRNA-Arg
Rfam family: tRNA
About the family: Transfer RNA (tRNA) molecules are approximately 80 nucleotides in length.
Source: RNAcentral